RNAcentral lists this ribosomal RNA (254 nucleotides) under uncultured bacterium. RNAcentral's name for it is "partial 16S ribosomal RNA". It matches the Rfam family "Bacterial small subunit ribosomal RNA", at positions 524 to 776 of the family's 1533-position model. The record is from RNAcentral.
UACGUAGGGGGCAAGCGUUGUCCGGAUUUAUUGGGCGUAAAGAGCUCGUAGGCGGUUUGGCAAGUCAGAUGUGAAAUCUCCAGGCUCAACCUGGAGGGGUCAUCUGAUACUGCCAUGACUAGAGGUCGGUAGGGGAGUGUGGAAUUCCUGGUGGAGCGGUGAAAUGCGCAGAUAUCAGGAGGAACACCCGUAGCGAAGGCGGCACUCUGGGCCGAUACUGACGCUGAGGAGCGAAAGCGUGGGGAGCGAACAGG